CACUCAAGAGCCAAGAAUAAUCGAUGUAGGCAUGCCCAAAGGCCCUCCUGGAGAGAACCUACAGAAAUGGUGAAGGGAGCAUCCCUUUGGAAGUCAAGAACAAGACCAAGGAGUACCUCUUCCUGGGUUUCUUCUUUCUGCAGUCGUUGCUUCCUGAGUGGUGGCAACCUUCACAGAGUGCAUCUGAGUUCUCUGUGCAGCAGAAUGGUCUACAUCUCAUGCCUGAGAAGACUGCACUGGAAAGCCUCCAUCUUUCAAAAGAGGGAUUUUGGCAUUUUCACUUCCUGGAGGAGCUGAGGUCACCUCAGAUGAGAAAUGUUGGGCAGAAUGUGGAACAGGCAGUCGGGGGAAAGAUGUGACUUCUGCUUUUAGCCACAUGGCCUUGGACAAAUUACUUUGCCUCAUCUGGCCCUCUUUUGUUCCUGAUGUUCUAGAAGGCAGACCAGGAUUUCCUAGAAGUCUCUGAACAUGGAUGGUUGGGAAGGAAGUUCUGGCUUGGGAUGUGGAGUGUAAGGCUGCUGAGAGGAGUAAGGGUGGAGGCAAGACUUUUCUGCAGAGUCUUGAGGAAGGAUUAAAAGCAAAAGGUAUCAUAGAUGCUAUUGGGAAAUCAACCUUGACCACCUUUUCUCCAACACAGAAUUGGACCAAAAUUGUGGCGCUUCUGACCUUGAAGGAAAACAUACUCUUACAUCUGAAUACAAAGUGGGGGCAGGGGUAGAAAGCAUAAUGUUUAUGCAAAGUGACUCUCAUGCUUGAGGCUCUGAAGUCCCAGGUUCAGUCCCCUGAACCACCAUAAACCAGAACUGAUCAGUGCUCUGGUAAGAAACAAACAAACAGCCAAAAAACAAUAUGGCGCAGCUGGAGUGUACCUCCUCCCAUCUCCCCACUGACCUGCAC
Molecule: long non-coding RNA, 897 nt
Organism: Erinaceus europaeus (western European hedgehog)
Lineage: Eukaryota; Metazoa; Chordata; Mammalia; Eulipotyphla; Erinaceidae
Exons: 3
Source: RefSeq, a predicted model, not a curated record